AAUUACAGUUUGUUUUUACACUCUUGCACGUGUCUGUUUCAUAUUAUUUUUUUCAGAUCUGAGGAGGUUGAUGAGAUUGAACACGCACAUUAAUGACAUUACUUUGGAUCUCAACAAGCAUUUUGGUUGGUACAAUCUGUCCACCUCCGACGCAUCUGAACACGUGGUGUGUAUUUCAUCAUCCAUAUCACCUUCUGGUUUUUACUUUGUUGUGAAAAGAGUAUGGUUCUUGUUUAGUUUCAAUUGAAACAUGUUCACUUUUAUUGUAUUCAACUGUAAUUAGUUUUUACUACUUUAUUUUCUGAUACAACUGCUAUAAUUGAAAAGUAUUGUUUGUUUGGGGCAGUUUUAUUUUUUUUAUUCCUUAUCAGUUUUACAUUGUUAGACCCUAAUGUAUUAAUGUUUAAUUGUUGCAUGUACAGUUUUUAGGAUUCUUGUUGUUUUCUUAUUUUUCUUUUGUUGCUUAUGUCAUCAAAUGAAAUGAUACGUUCUGACCAAAUGACCGAUUGAGUUUUUCAAAACAAAGAAUGAUCACCAAGUCGUUCUCUAAAUUGUGAAAUAUGAAAAAACUCAUUUUAACCCCAACUAUUUUGAGUGAAAAUAACUUAUUGUGUAUAGUAUGUCAUCUAAGUGCUUUGUCAAAUGUACAGCAUUCGUUUAGAAAUGUAUCUUUAUUUGUAUAACGCUGUAAAAUUAACACAUUUUAAUUUGGAAAUGUAUAUUAUAAAUUACAUUUGAUGUCAUUUUAUUUGACACCUAAUGUUUCUGCAAUCCAAAAGAUACAAAUUUAGCCCAUCGUAAUAUCAGUAAAUGCCGAAAGAUAACACUUGGGUUGUUAAAACAGUCUGGCUGAUUUUCGGACAAUUAAAAAGCAGGAGCGAUGACGUCUGCCUGCGACGCGCAGAGAUCUUCACGCGCCGCCCUUGUGCCUUUCAUGAAUCUAUUCUAUCCCCUCCCCUCAACGGCAUCUCAUUAACGGCGUUAAUUUUGUUUUAUAUACUGUACAUUUCUGUCGUAAAAAAAGAUGUAUUUUCAUUGUUCUCUUUUUAAUAAAACAAUGAUUCGUGCUCAUAGCGGACACACUGUGUUUUCCACCUCGUUUUUUAAAAAGUGUCUUGGGACUAAGCUGCAGGCCAGAGGACAAUUUCCCUGUACAUAGUUUACAUCAUGAGUCACAUGUGAUGACUCAUGAUGUAAACUACGUACAGAAGGACUCAAC
Gasterosteus aculeatus aculeatus (three-spined stickleback) is the source of this 1219-nucleotide long non-coding RNA. The record is from Ensembl. Lineage: Eukaryota; Metazoa; Chordata; Actinopteri; Perciformes; Gasterosteidae.